GACGAACGCUGGCGGCGUGCUUAACACAUGCAAGUCGAACGGUGAAGCGCCUUCCUUUUUGGUGGGUGUGGAUGAGUGGCGAACGGGUGAGUAACACGUGAGUAACCUGCCCCCUUCUUCUGGAUAACCGCAUGAAAGUGUGGCUAAUACGGGAUAUUCUGGGUCUGUCGCAUGAUGGGUCUGGGAAAGAUAUUGUUUCGGUGGGGGAUGGGCUCGCGGCCUAUCAGCUUGUUGGUGGGGUGAUGGCCUACCAAGGCGGUGACGGGUAGCCGGCCUGAGAGGGUGGACGGUCACACGGGGACUGAGACACGGCCCAGACUCCUACGGGAGGCAGCAGUGGGGAAUAUGGCACAAUGGGCGCAAGCCUGAUGCAGCGACGCCGCGUGAGGGAUGGAGGCCUUCGGGUUGUGAACCUCUUUCGCCAGUGAAGCAGGCCUGCCUUGUUUGUGGGUGGGUUGACGGUAGCUGGAUAAGAAGCGCCGGCUAACUACGUG
RNAcentral lists this ribosomal RNA (494 nucleotides) under uncultured bacterium. RNAcentral describes it as "partial 16S ribosomal RNA". It matches the Rfam family "Bacterial small subunit ribosomal RNA", at positions 28 to 507 of the family's 1533-position model. The record is from RNAcentral.